Molecule: ribosomal RNA, 253 nt
Filed under: uncultured bacterium
Lineage: Bacteria
Description: partial 16S ribosomal RNA
Rfam family: Bacterial small subunit ribosomal RNA
Source: RNAcentral
UACGUAGGGACCAAGCGUUGUUCGGAUUUACUGGGCGUAAAGGGCGCGUAGGCGGUGCGGUAAGUCACUUGUGAAAUCUCUGAGCUUAACUCAGAACGGCCAAGUGAUACUGCAGUACUAGAGUGCGGAAGGGGCAAUCGGAAUUCUUGGUGUAGCGGUGAAAUGCGUAGAUAUCGGGAGGAACACCUGUGGCGAAAGCGGCGCACUGGACCACAACUGACGCUGAGGCGCGAAAGCUAGGGGAGCAAACAGG